UCACCCUCUGCCACGCCCAUGGCAGCACAGUAAGGCUCUCCUUCCCACUGUCCCGAGCUUCUUCUUCGAUGCAGAGAGGAAUCUUUGUGAAGAUGUAUCUUUGAAGCUCUGGGCUUUCCUUGCCCAGCUCUUCCUGUUUGGAGUUACGUCAUCACUUCCUGGCAGACAGUUUUGACAUCAUAAUUCACAAUUGGCCUGAUACACCCAUUAGGAAGGGACAUUGGAAAAUUGAUGUCUUUUUUUUUUGCCCCCCUGAAGCUGGCUGUUUUCCUUCAAACAGAAACCCCGAAGGCAUUCCCUCCUUGGUAAUCCAAAAUAAUCCACUCUUUUCGGUUCUCAGAAACAGUUUAUGACAAAGAACCAGUCUUUCUGACUUGCUUCCAUUUCCUUUGGGAAGAGGAAGAGACGGAAAAGACAGACAGACCACUGUGGGACUGUGGGAAGAUCCUUUGAGAAGAAGCUGGCUGCCAGCCAAGAGGACAGGCUUUGGAAGUAGCCAAGCCUGGCCCCACCUCGGACCGUGGGAUCCUGCCCUCCACAUCUCUGAAAGGCACGUGCUUCGGUUUGAUGGCUCCAGCCAACGGAGAGAGGAGCCACCACCAGUGUCCCAGAUUGCUCACUGUGUGUCCCCAGUGAAUCGCUCAGCCUCCCUGAGUGUUUCCCAGUCCUACUGGAAGAUAAAGGGAGGGGCGCAAUCCAGUGAUGGAGUGUGGUGAGGCACACAAAGCUGACAACUGGGGUGCUGGGGGCGUGGCCCAGUGGCCGAGCAUCUUCGGAGCUCGCAGGAGACCCUAGGUUCUGUCCUGAACACUACAAAAGAAAGCAAAAUCCCUAUUCCAGGCACGGAGCUGAAAAGUCUUUGGAGGUCUGAGGCAGGAGGGUCAGGAAGGAGUUCCAGGCCUUUUGGAAGCGGAGUUUAGAGUAAGCGUGGAAGAAACCAGGAUUGACGACCUCACGGGCCUGUUUUUUUCAAAGAAAGGAAAUGAAUGAUGCUUGACACCUGGCAUGCCAAUGAAAGUGGUCAAAUCACCUGGUGAUCCUUUGCUAUUCUAUUAGGGCCAACCUCUGCCUGAAUCCCCCAAUUUCCUGAGCAUUGUUUAGGCCCUAAUCUGUCUGUCCGUGAAUGGGACUCAUUCCUAUGAAAGAGGGCCCAUUACUCCAGGGUUGGCAUCCUCCAUCAAUAGAAUCCAUCUUUCUCCUUCCUCCAGGCCCCAGUCCUGAGUUCUGCUUCUCAGCCAAUAGAACUCAUUCUUUUUAAUUAGUUAAUUUAAUUAAUUAAAAUAUAAUUAAUUUUA
Molecule: non-coding RNA, 1295 nt
Organism: Myodes glareolus (Bank vole)
Lineage: Eukaryota; Metazoa; Chordata; Mammalia; Rodentia; Cricetidae
Source: RefSeq, a predicted model, not a curated record